Molecule: ribosomal RNA, 2932 nt
Filed under: Staphylococcus aureus
Lineage: Bacteria; Bacillati; Bacillota; Bacilli; Caryophanales; Staphylococcaceae
Description: bacterial LSU rRNA
Rfam family: Bacterial large subunit ribosomal RNA
Source: RNAcentral
UUAAGUUAUUAAGGGCGCACGGUGGAUGCCUUGGCACUAGAAGCCGAUGAAGGACGUUACUAACGACGAUAUGCUUUGGGGAGCUGUAAGUAAGCUUUGAUCCAGAGAUUUCCGAAUGGGGAAACCCAGCAUGAGUUAUGUCAUGUUAUCGAUAUGUGAAUACAUAGCAUAUCAGAAGGCACACCCGGAGAACUGAAACAUCUUAGUACCCGGAGGAAGAGAAAGAAAAUUCGAUUCCCUUAGUAGCGGCGAGCGAAACGGGAAGAGCCCAAACCAACAAGCUUGCUUGUUGGGGUUGUAGGACACUCUAUACGGAGUUACAAAGGACGACAUUAGACGAAUCAUCUGGAAAGAUGAAUCAAAGAAGGUAAUAAUCCUGUAGUCGAAAAUGUUGUCUCUCUUGAGUGGAUCCUGAGUACGACGGAGCACGUGAAAUUCCGUCGGAAUCUGGGAGGACCAUCUCCUAAGGCUAAAUACUCUCUAGUGACCGAUAGUGAACCAGUACCGUGAGGGAAAGGUGAAAAGCACCCCGGAAGGGGAGUGAAAUAGAACCUGAAACCGUGUGCUUACAAGUAGUCAGAGCCCGUUAAUGGGUGAUGGCGUGCCUUUUGUAGAAUGAACCGGCGAGUUACGAUUUGAUGCAAGGUUAAGCAGUAAAUGUGGAGCCGUAGCGAAAGCGAGUCUGAAUAGGGCGUUUAGUAUUUGGUCGUAGACCCGAAACCAGGUGAUCUACCCUUGGUCAGGUUGAAGUUCAGGUAACACUGAAUGGAGGACCGAACCGACUUACGUUGAAAAGUGAGCGGAUGAACUGAGGGUAGCGGAGAAAUUCCAAUCGAACCUGGAGAUAGCUGGUUCUCUCCGAAAUAGCUUUAGGGCUAGCCUCAAGUGAUGAUUAUUGGAGGUAGAGCACUGUUUGGACGAGGGGCCCCUCUCGGGUUACCGAAUUCAGACAAACUCCGAAUGCCAAUUAAUUUAACUUGGGAGUCAGAACAUGGGUGAUAAGGUCCGUGUUCGAAAGGGAAACAGCCCAGACCACCAGCUAAGGUCCCAAAAUAUAUGUUAAGUGGAAAAGGAUGUGGCGUUGCCCAGACAACUAGGAUGUUGGCUUAGAAGCAGCCAUCAUUUAAAGAGUGCGUAAUAGCUCACUAGUCGAGUGACACUGCGCCGAAAAUGUACCGGGGCUAAACAUAUUACCGAAGCUGUGGAUUGUCCUUUGGACAAUGGUAGGAGAGCGUUCUAAGGGCGUUGAAGCAUGAUCGUAAGGACAUGUGGAGCGCUUAGAAGUGAGAAUGCCGGUGUGAGUAGCGAAAGACGGGUGAGAAUCCCGUCCACCGAUUGACUAAGGUUUCCAGAGGAAGGCUCGUCCGCUCUGGGUUAGUCGGGUCCUAAGCUGAGGCCGACAGGCGUAGGCGAUGGAUAACAGGUUGAUAUUCCUGUACCACCUAUAAUCGUUUUAAUCGAUGGGGGGACGCAGUAGGAUAGGCGAAGCGUGCNNNNNNNNNNNNAUUGGAUUGCACGUCUAAGCAGUAAGGCUGAGUAUUAGGCAAAUCCGGUACUCGUUAAGGCUGAGCUGUGAUGGGGAGAAGACAUUGUGUCUUCGAGUCGUUGAUUUCACACUGCCGAGAAAAGCCUCUAGAUAGAAAAUAGGUGCCCGUACCGCAAACCGACACAGGUAGUCAAGAUGAGAAUUCUAAGGUGAGCGAGCGAACUCUCGUUAAGGAACUCGGCAAAAUGACCCCGUAACUUCGGGAGAAGGGGUGCUCUUUAGGGUUAACGCCCAGAAGAGCCGCAGUGAAUAGGCCCAAGCGACUGUUUAUCAAAAACACAGGUCUCUGCUAAACCGUAAGGUGAUGUAUAGGGGCUGACGCCUGCCCGGUGCUGGAAGGUUAAGAGGAGUGGUUAGCUUCUGCGAAGCUACGAAUCGAAGCCCCAGUAAACGGCGGCCGUAACUAUAACGGUCCUAAGGUAGCGAAAUUCCUUGUCGGGUAAGUUCCGACCCGCACGAAAGGCGUAACGAUUUGGGCACUGUCUCAACGAGAGACUCGGUGAAAUCAUAGUACCUGUGAAGAUGCAGGUUACCCGCGACAGGACGGAAAGACCCCGUGGAGCUUUACUGUAGCCUGAUAUUGAAAUUCGGCACAGCUUGUACAGGAUAGGUAGGAGCCUUUGAAACGUGAGCGCUAGCUUACGUGGAGGCGCUGGUGGGAUACUACCCUAGCUGUGUUGGCUUUCUAACCCGCACCACUUAUCGUGGUGGGAGACAGUGUCAGGCGGGCAGUUUGACUGGGGCGGUCGCCUCCUAAAAGGUAACGGAGGCGCUCAAAGGUUCCCUCAGAAUGGUUGGAAAUCAUUCAUAGAGUGUAAAGGCAUAAGGGAGCUUGACUGCGAGACCUACAAGUCGAGCAGGGUCGAAAGACGGACUUAGUGAUCCGGUGGUUCCGCAUGGAAGGGCCAUCGCUCAACGGAUAAAAGCUACCCCGGGGAUAACAGGCUUAUCUCCCCCAAGAGUUCACAUCGACGGGGAGGUUUGGCACCUCGAUGUCGGCUCAUCGCAUCCUGGGGCUGUAGUCGGUCCCAAGGGUUGGGCUGUUCGCCCAUUAAAGCGGUACGCGAGCUGGGUUCAGAACGUCGUGAGACAGUUCGGUCCCUAUCCGUCGUGGGCGUAGGAAAUUUGAGAGGAGCUGUCCUUAGUACGAGAGGACCGGGAUGGACAUACCUCUGGUGUACCAGUUGUCGUGCCAACGGCAUAGCUGGGUAGCUAUGUGUGGACGGGAUAAGUGCUGAAAGCAUCUAAGCAUGAAGCCCCCCUCAAGAUGAGAUUUCCCAACUUCGGUUAUAAGAUCCCUCAAAGAUGAUGAGGUUAAUAGGUUCGAGGUGGAAGCAUGGUGACAUGUGGAGCUGACGAAUACUAAUCGAUCGAAGACUUAAUCAA